GAUGAACGCUGGCGGCGUGCCUAAUACAUGCAAGUCGAGCGAACGGACGAGAAGCUUGCUUCUCUGAUGUUAGCGGCGGACGGGUGAGUAACACGUGGAUAACCUACCUAUAAGACUGGGAUAACUUCGGGAAACCGGAGCUAAUACCGGAUAAUAUUUUGAACCGCAUGGUUCAAAAGUGAAAGACGGUCUUGCUGUCACUUAUAGAUGGAUCCGCGCUGCAUUAGCUAGUUGGUAAGGUAACGGCUUACCAAGGCAACGAUGCAUAGCCGACCUGAGAGGGUGAUCGGCCACACUGGAACUGAGACACGGUCCAGACUCCUACGGGAGGCAGCAGUAGGGAAUCUUCCGCAAUGGGCGAAAGCCUGACGGAGCAACGCCGCGUGGGUGAUGAAGGUAUUCGGAUCGUAAAACUCUGUUAUUAGGGAAGAACAUAUGUGUAAGUAACUGUGCACAUCUUGACGGUACCUAAUCAGAAAGCCACGGCUAACUACGUG
Molecule: ribosomal RNA, 497 nt
Filed under: uncultured bacterium
Lineage: Bacteria
Description: partial 16S ribosomal RNA
Rfam family: Bacterial small subunit ribosomal RNA
Source: RNAcentral